UGACUGGAGUGCUGAAGCAGGAAGCC
Molecule: non-coding RNA, 26 nt
Filed under: Macaca fascicularis (crab-eating macaque)
Lineage: Eukaryota; Metazoa; Chordata; Mammalia; Primates; Cercopithecidae
Also listed under: 2 other names
Source: RNAcentral